GACGAACGCUGGCGGCGUGCUUAACACAUGCAAGUCGAACGGAAAGGCCCUGCUUUUGUGGGGUGCUCGAGUGGCGAACGGGUGAGUAACACGUGAGUAACCUGCCCUUGACUUUGGGAUAACUUCAGGAAACUGGGGCUAAUACCGGAUAGGAGCUCCUGCUGCAUGGUGGGGGUUGGAAAGUUUCGGCGGUUGGGGAUGGACUCGCGGCUUAUCAGCUUGUUGGUGGGGUAGGGGCUUACCAAGGCUUUGACGGGUAGCCGGCCUGAGAGGGUGACCGGCCACAUUGGGACUGAGAGACGGCCCAGACUCCUACGGGAGGCAGCAGUGGGGAAUAUUGCACAAUGGGCGGAAGCCUGAUGCAGCAACGCCGCGUGCGGGAUGACGGCCUUCGGGUUGUAAACCGCUUUCGCCUGUGACGAAGCGUGAGUGACGGUAAUGGGUAAAGAAGCACCGGCUAACUACGU
RNAcentral lists this ribosomal RNA (467 nucleotides) under uncultured bacterium. Its description in RNAcentral is "partial 16S ribosomal RNA". It matches the Rfam family "Bacterial small subunit ribosomal RNA", at positions 28 to 506 of the family's 1533-position model. The record is from RNAcentral.